GACGAACGCUGGCGGCGUGCUUAACACAUGCAAGUCGAACGGAAAGGCCCUGCUUUUGUGGGGUGCUCGAGUUGCGAACGGGUGAGUAACACGUGAGUAACCUGCCCCUGACUUUGGGAUAACUUCAGGAAACUGGGGCUAAUACCGGCUAGGAGCUCCUGCUGCAUGGUGGGGGUUGGAAAGUUUCGGCGGUUGGGGAUGGACUGGCGGCGUAUCAGCUUGUUGGUGGGGUAGUGGCUUACCAAGGCUAUGACGGGUAGCCGGCCUGAGCGGGUGACCGGCUAAACUAGGAUUGGACUACGGCCCAGACUCGUACGGGAGGCAGAGGAGGGGAGGAGUGCACAGUGGGCUGAAGCCUGAUCCAGCAACGCCGCGUGCGGGAUGACGGCAAGCGGGUUGUAAAGCGCUUCCGCCUGUGACGAGGCGUGAGUGACGGUACUGGGUAAAGAAGCACCGGCUAACUACGUG
RNAcentral lists this ribosomal RNA (468 nucleotides) under uncultured bacterium. RNAcentral's name for it is "partial 16S ribosomal RNA". It matches the Rfam family "Bacterial small subunit ribosomal RNA", at positions 28 to 507 of the family's 1533-position model. The record is from RNAcentral.